UAUAAAGGCAAACCCGUUGAAAAGCGGGGACGCAAAGCCAAGGGUCUAACGUCCGAAGGACUAUGACAGCCGGUUGCCGC
Molecule: non-coding RNA, 80 nt
Filed under: human gut metagenome
Also listed under: 1 other name
Description: Cyclic di-GMP-I riboswitch
Rfam family: c-di-GMP-I riboswitch aptamer
About the family: GEMM was predicted in a large-scale screen for bacterial structured RNA regulatory elements. Genes associated with GEMM are involved in a diverse array of functions, including chemotaxis regulation, signal transduction, secretion and chitin.
Source: RNAcentral